Molecule: non-coding RNA, 150 nt
Organism: Gorilla gorilla gorilla (western lowland gorilla)
Lineage: Eukaryota; Metazoa; Chordata; Mammalia; Primates; Hominidae
Rfam family: Metazoan signal recognition particle RNA
About the family: The signal recognition particle (SRP) is a universally conserved ribonucleoprotein. It is involved in the co-translational targeting of proteins to membranes.
Source: Rfam
GCUGGGCGUGGUGUUGUGUGCCUGUAGUCCCAGCUACUUGGGAGGCUGAGGCAGGAGAAUUGCUUUAACCCAGGGGAGGCAGAGGUUGCAGUGAGCCGAGAUCACGCCACUGCACUCCAGCCUGGGUGACAGAGCAAGACUCUGUCUCAA